UUUUAAGGAAGUGCCAAAUAAGGAAUUCUCUCAAUUUCAAGUGGGUCUUUGCGAACAUGGUAGCAAGUAUUUUGUGCUAUCAAGUUAAAAUGUGUAUAUACAUCUCAUUAUAGAGAACAAUCCAACAUGCUACCUAUUAGAGAGGAUUAAACUAUGGAUUUUUUUUUCAUCGCGCACAUGGAUUUGGCGUGCCUCUGCGUCAUUUGGCGCGACGGGUCCACUAGUACUCUAUAUAAGCAGGGAGAAGGACACCAGGCUGAAGGUUGAUCUCUCUUGUAAACUUACAUGCAAAGGCAAAAACACCACACACAGAAGUAGGGUCUCCUCCGGCGAAGGCCCAAAUGUGUAUAAACCCUUAUGCAUACUCUCAUCUAUAACUUUCGAUGGACACGACGCUCCUCCAUACACAUCCCUAUACAAACAAUACGGUGGUCAUACUACCAUUAAUACAUGUGACCACGCAAAUCAUCGUAUGGUUGAAUAGUUGUGAUAUAGGGUACAGCUGAGCCAGGGCCCGUAAACAGAUUUCCGCUUGUCCAUCCCAUAGUCGAACUAGUAGUUAUAAGAUAUCACUAAAAUAUACUCUAGAAGAGAGAAUAUAGACAACAAUAGGCCACAAUAUUUAACAAUCAUCCCACUGGUAACAUUUCAUCCAGACCGAGAAACUCGAGUGAAACUUGCGUGUUUCAGCACAACGAACAGGCCAACAUGUUACACUUGUCCAACUUGAGUUGUUGGUAUCCUGUAGGCGGAGACCAAAACAGGUCGUUUGCACAACAAUAUAGACAUCAUCCUUCAUGCUUAGCAAUGGUGGGGAGGUCGUCGUCCUUUUCAAUUGCAAGAUUAGUGCGUCAAGAUCAAGUGAGGCGUGAUUUUAGCCAGUAAAUCGUUGUUGGAUUCUCCCUGUUACCAAAAUGGUAGCUGCUUCUACAAUCGCACGACUCUGCUUUCUAGAUCUUCUGGACACUGUAUCCAGCUUCUUCAGUAUUCAAGCCGUCGUUCCAGCUCUGAAACUCUGACCCUCCGAACUGUACUUCCUUAAUGCCCAGAUGACUGCAGAGAACCAAACAAACCCAAAUAAGAUUGAAUUGUUCUUGCAUAUAUGAAUACCGUAAUAGAAACUUGACAAAGUGCAGAAAAAUGCGAAGGUAGCAGUGUCAUUCUAGCACUGUACCGCCCGGGGAACUAGCAGUCAGGCAGAUUCAUUUUUGUAGAGGAUUGGUGCAACUCACGAUAUAUUGAUCGGGUGCAUAUGCACAUAUAUAGGUAAAAAGGGAGCCACGUCCUCAACUAUACAAGGAAGGAGGAGGGCUUGUUGUACAAGAAAUACACAUGCGAUAUAUACAUCUCAAC
This 1353-nucleotide long non-coding RNA is filed under the name Triticum aestivum (bread wheat). RNAcentral describes it as "long non-coding RNA (TAES_LNC025653)". The record is from RNAcentral. Lineage: Eukaryota; Viridiplantae; Streptophyta; Magnoliopsida; Poales; Poaceae.